Molecule: ribosomal RNA, 417 nt
Filed under: Triticum aestivum (bread wheat)
Lineage: Eukaryota; Viridiplantae; Streptophyta; Magnoliopsida; Poales; Poaceae
Description: partial small subunit ribosomal RNA
Source: RNAcentral
AUGGAGAAGGUUGAAGGAGGGCAGACUGAAAUGCCAUACAAAUUCAAUAAAUCCACAUUGACUCAUGACAACAAGCUAGGCCGGAUUCGGUUUUGUUUAUCCAUGUUGGAUGAAUUAAGCGUGCCUGAUGAACCCACAUUUAAAGGCAUGUACAAUGUCAUUCAUAUCGAUGAGAACUGGUUCUACUGCACUAAAGGUACUCAGAACUACUACUUGGCACCUGAUGAAGAAGAACCUUAUCGCAUCACACAGAGCAAGGGAUUCAUUGAGAAAGUGAUGUUCUUGGCAGCAGUAGCAAGGCCUCAUUAUGAUGAUCAUGGUGUCAUGACAUUUGAUGGCAAGACUGGGAUUUGGCCAUUCACAUAUCAGGACUUUGUAAUGAAGCGUAACCCUUACCGAGCGAGGGGGAAGAGGUAA